AUAGACUUAGUCCUAACCUUACUGUUAAUUCCUACCAGACCUAUACAUGCAAGUAUCCGCGACCCAGUGAAAAUGCCCUCAACUCUACACCAAGACAAGAGGGGCGGGCAUCAGGCACACACUAAUUGUAGCCCAAGACGCCUUGCUCAGCCACACCCCCACGGGUAUUCAGCAGUAACUAACAUUAAGCAAUAAGUGCAAACUUGACUUAGUCAUGGUAGCCCAGGGUUGGUAAAUCUUGUGCCAGCCACCGCGGUCAUACAAGAAACCCAAAUUAAUCGUCCACGGCGUAAAGAGUGGCCUAAAACUAUUGUCCAAGAUGAGGUUAAAGCAUGUCCAAGCCGUCAUAAGCCCAGGACACACCCAAACCCACCCACCCAUAUUACAACCUCAACCACCAACGAUCGACCAAACCCACGAAAGCCAAGACACAAACUGGGAUUAGAUACCCCACUAUGCUUGGCCGUUAAUUUAGGUGUUUCCCACACCCAAACACCCGCCAGGGGACUACGAGCACAAACGCUUGAAACCCUAAGGACUUGGCGGUGUUCCAAACCCACCUAGAGGAGCCUGUCCUAUAAUCGAUAACCCACGAUACACCCAACCCCUUCUUGCUUUAACAGCCUACAUACCGCCGUCGUCAGCCCACCUCACUUGAGAGCCAAACAGUGGGCCCAACAGCCCUACCCGCUAAAAAGACAGGUCAAGGUAUAGCUAAUGAAGGGGCAGAGAUGGGCUACAUUUUCUGACACAGACAAUCUACGAAAAGGGGCCUGAAACAGCCCCCAGAAGGCGGAUUUAGAAGUAAAAUGUGACCAUCACGCCCAUUUUAAACUGGCCCUGGAACACGUACAUACCGCCCGUCACCCUCCUCAUAAGCAACACUACCACAAACUAUAACCCACACCAAGCCAAAGAUGAGGUAAGUCGUAACAAGGUAAGUGUACCGGAAGGUGCACUUAGCAUAC
This 968-nucleotide non-coding RNA is filed under the name Picumnus innominatus. RNAcentral's name for it is "12S ribosomal RNA". It matches the Rfam family "Bacterial small subunit ribosomal RNA". Lineage: Eukaryota; Metazoa; Chordata; Aves; Piciformes; Picidae. The record is from RNAcentral.